RNAcentral lists this ribosomal RNA (478 nucleotides) under uncultured bacterium. RNAcentral describes it as "partial 16S ribosomal RNA". It matches the Rfam family "Bacterial small subunit ribosomal RNA", at positions 28 to 507 of the family's 1533-position model. The record is from RNAcentral.
GAUGAACGCUGGCGGCGUGCUUAACACAUGCAAGUCGAACGAGAAGUGGAGACGGAAACCUUCGGGCGGAAGACUUUACUUCGAGUGGCGGACGGGUUAGUAACGCGUGGGUAACCUGCCUCAUACAGGGGGAUAACAGUUGGACACGACUGUUAAUACCGCAUAAGACCACAGCACCGCCUGUUGCGGGGGUUAAAACUCCGGUGGUAUGGGAUGGACCCGCGUUCGAUUAGCCAGUUGGCGGGGUAACGGCCCACCACAGCGACGAUCGAUAGCCGAGAAGAGAGGAUGACAGGAGACAUUGGGACUGAGACACGGCGGAAAAUCAUACGGGAGGGAGGAAAGGGGAAUAUAGCAAAAUGGGGGAAGGGCAGAAGGAGCGACGACGGGAGAGUGAAGAAGUAUGGCGGGAAGUAAAGCAAUAUAAGAAGGGAAGAAAAUGACAGUACCAGAGUAAGAAGCACCGGCUAACUACGUG